AUACGGAGGAUGCGAGCGUUAUCCGGAUUUAUUGGGUUUAAAGGGUGCGUAGGCGGGAUUUUAAGUCAGCGGUGAAACGCAAGGGCUCAACCCUUGACCUGCCGUUGAAACUGGAGUUCUUGAAUGCGGAUGCUGUGGGAGGUAUGUGUGGUGUAGCGGUGAAAUGCAUAGAUAUCACACAGAACACCGAUUGCGAAGGCAUCUGACAGAUCCGUGAUUGACGCUGAGGCAAGAUAGUGCGGUGAACAAACAGGAUUAGAUUCCCUGUUAGGCCACAGUGUAAACGAUGAUAACUAGCUGUCGGCGAUACUCAGUCGGUGGCCAAGCGAAAGCGAUAAGUUAUCCACCUGGGGAGUACGAACGCCAGGUUGAAACUCGAAUGAACUGACGGGC
RNAcentral lists this ribosomal RNA (393 nucleotides) under uncultured bacterium. Its description in RNAcentral is "partial 16S ribosomal RNA". It matches the Rfam family "Bacterial small subunit ribosomal RNA", at positions 523 to 918 of the family's 1533-position model. The record is from RNAcentral.